UGCCAGCCGCCGCGGUAAUACGAGGGUCCCAAGCGUUGUUCGGAAUCACUGGGCGUAAAGCGUACGUAGGCGGAUUAAUAAGUUAGAGGUGAAAUCCCAGGGCUCAACCCUGGAACUGCCUUUAAUACUGCUAGUCUUGAGUUCGAGAGAGGUAAGUGGAAUUCCAAGUGUAGAGGUGAAAUUCGUAGAUAUUUGGAGGAACACCAGUGGCGAAGGCGGCUUACUGGCUCGAUACUGACGCUGAGGUGCGAAAGUGUGGGGAGCAAACAGGAUUAGAUA
Molecule: ribosomal RNA, 279 nt
Filed under: uncultured bacterium
Lineage: Bacteria
Description: partial 16S ribosomal RNA
Rfam family: Bacterial small subunit ribosomal RNA
Source: RNAcentral